Molecule: non-coding RNA, 1858 nt
Organism: Punica granatum (pomegranate)
Lineage: Eukaryota; Viridiplantae; Streptophyta; Magnoliopsida; Myrtales; Lythraceae
Source: RefSeq, a predicted model, not a curated record
CUUCCGUUCAAUGAACUCAUUAAAUGCUGACAUUACCGUUACAUUUUGGACACAUGGCAGUUAUCCUCCACGUAAACGCCAUUAAGGCGACUGGCAGGCCCUUUUCCCCCAUUUCCUUUUCCGUGGUUUUCGUGGUGCCAUACCCUUCCGUAGAGUCACUGUUUCCUCCAUUAUCUCUUCUCCCCAAGCCCCAGCACCUGAACUAGCUCCCCUCUACUCCCUCUCUCUCGCUUUCCCCCCAUUCGCUGCCGGUCUUGGUCUAGGGUUUUCUGCUCAUCGGAGUCCGAUCAAACAUGGUGUCUCAGGAGGGCUCGAUUAUGAUCAGGGCUGACCGCAGGGAAGAGUCCGGUGACUCAAUUUCUCGAAUCUUCUCCGAUCCUAGUUGCAGGAAAGGAAAUGGAGGAGUCCUUAACCUUCUUGUUUUUCUAGGCUCCGAGGAUGCGCUGUACAAGGAGUUGUGGCGCGCCUGCGCCGGUCCCUUCGUCACCGUACCCCGGGAAGGAGAGCUCGCCUACUACUUCCCCCAGGGCCAUAUCGAGCAGGGAUUGGAGCCACUUAUUACUAAGCUAACACUUUGUUGGUAACAUUUUCAUGAUGAAAAGUUUGAUGUAUCAAUCAUAAAGAUUUAUUCUUCCCUUUACUCCACUCAAGGUAAGAGGGAAGAGGUAAGCUUGUCAUCCAAUUUCACAUCUAUAUCUAUAUAUAGUAAAAUUACACUAAGUAACAAAUGCGCAUAAUAAAUUUUAUAAAUAAAGAUACUUAAAAUAAAUAUUAUAAUUAAUAAAAUAUAAAUAAUUAUAUCAUUAUAACAAAGUUCUUUUAUUUUAUAUACUUCACAUAUAUAAUUAAAAUAUAAAUUAUUAAAGUCAUUUUUAAUUAACAAAUUAAAUUAAUUAAGUAUUUUAAAUGAUGUCACAAUUGUUUAUUCCAAACGAGAUUCGUUUGGAACAAAAAAAUGAGAAAGUCGCAAAAUACUAUAAAAAUCAUCAUUAAACUGUUUAAUAAAGUCUAAGGUAUUAUUGUUCAAAAUUAGAAUAGUCAAGUUGGACAUAAAUUAGAAAAUAUAAACAAUUAGAAAAAAAGGAAAAUAUAAAAAAAGAAUUGCAAUUAACCAAUUGACUAAUAAUGAAAUUUGACAAAUAACGAAAUUGAAGAAUUAGUUGAAAGACUAGAAAUGCAAAACUAUUAUUGUGCUAUUUAACUUACUAUAAUUUUAAAAAAAGAAUUAUGAAAAAAAUAUUGUUUAAAACUUGAAGCUAAUAAAAAAAAUAUUAUUAGUCUUAAUAGAAAAAUUAGUCUUUAAAAGAAAUUACAAUAUAAAAAAUAUAAAAAGUAUAUUAAAAUGAACUCAUACAAUGAAUGGGCGCAAUAGUAGUUUAAUGUACCAGCGAAAUGGUAGUUUAAUUAAGUACUGAAAAUUUAAUUUGAACAUUUAACUUAAAUAACAAAACACAUGCUUAAUUUAUUAAAUUAAGUCAAUCUUAUUUUAGUUCAUUAAACAAUUAAAUCUCCAAUUAUAUACUAAAAGUUUAAUUUAAGCAUUUAAUUUGAAUAAUCAAAUGCCACCUAAAUCACCAACGUGGGUAAGUUCAAACAGUUUGGCAUUUAUUCCACUUUAAGUAAGGUCUCUGAUUUUAAUUCUUGUGAAUGCAAAAAAUUUACGCUAAGAGAACUUUACUACUUCGUAGGUCGAUCCGACUCAACUAGAUUAAUCGAGACCCAAUUGAUUUUUUGGAGUUCACACCGAAAAAAAAAAACCUAAAUCUAAAUUUCAUCCAACAAAUGCCUUAUAAGAACACGCAGAUACAUCUAUAUAAAUGUUCAAUAAUAUGUUCCUAGCAUAAUCCAAACAAACUAA